GGAGUUAGCUCAGUUGCAGAGCGGAUGCUUAGCAUGCACGAGGUCCUGGGUUCAAUCCCCAGUACCUCUA
This 70-nucleotide transfer RNA is filed under the name Camelus bactrianus (Bactrian camel). It matches the Rfam family "tRNA". From Rfam's summary of the family: Transfer RNA (tRNA) molecules are approximately 80 nucleotides in length. RNAcentral also lists the same sequence under 2 other names. The record is from Rfam by way of RNAcentral. Lineage: Eukaryota; Metazoa; Chordata; Mammalia; Artiodactyla; Camelidae.